This is a long non-coding RNA of Rhipicephalus microplus (southern cattle tick), 2066 nucleotides long. The record is from RefSeq and is a predicted model, not a curated record. Lineage: Eukaryota; Metazoa; Arthropoda; Arachnida; Ixodida; Ixodidae.
UCUCAUUUUUUUAUUGGUCAGUUGGUUGUUGGAGCAUGUAAAAUCUGUGUUGGCAAUAAUUUUCGUGACAAGGGUCAGCAGUUUUUUUUUUUCUCUUAGUUUGCAGGUUAAAUGCAAGAUAGUUCAAAGUGAGAUGAUUGGUGCAACCGUUCCUGUAGCAGUAAGGAUAUUGGAGCGUAGUGCACUACUGUUUUGAUAAAAAGAACAUGCAUUUACAACAAGCAGUUCCCUACCUGCAAAACUGAUGCAAUGCACAUUUUUUUUUCUUAGCUUAUCUCUUGUAGAUAAAAGCUAUGCUUUUCUGAGCACUCAAGCUAUCAAUGGUAUUCACUUUUUUUUUCCAGGCUUAGAUUUUGUCCUGCACAGUUAGUCAUAAAAUCCUGUGUUUCUGGUCUAAAUGUUGUGUUUUACUCUAGGCUCAGAGCCUGCAGAGAAUGCCAGUCAUUGAAGCCACAGUUUCACAUGUUUUCGGCAAACACUGUAGCCUGAAUAUAUUUAUUAUUUAUCACAAAUCAUAGCCACACACUUGAAAUAGCUAGUGGUAUCAAAUUUCAUUUAGACCUUCUCUGCCAUGUACAUAGGUGCUCUAGUUUGAACCUAGAUAACCUUCACAAAAAAUAGCGCACUUCAUUCUGGUCCAUCGUUAAUUAAGCAAUGUUGGAAUGGAAGCAACUGGAUACAUUUGACGUAUGCUAUAGAUACAAAUUCCAACUCGAACGAGGUUAGAACACCUAGAAUGUCUCAUUGGGCGUUUGGGCAUCACGCGUACUCGGUACCACUUAGUUCGAAUUAUACAUAGUAGAUUUGGGACUGGAUAAAAGGUAGGGAGCAGCUGUACGGCAGUUGCACUUCAAUAUUUUAUACAACACAUAACGGCCACUUUGUAAAGUUUUUUCCGUGUGUGCUUUUCAACUUGCGUUGAUGACAGGUUAGUUCUGCGAAGUUUGUAAUACGAAGGAACGGUUGAGAAAAAAAAUUUUCGCAAAAAAGCUACGAGCAGAGCUGUAGCGGUUUUUCAGAAAUAGAAAACGGCUGACAAACAAAAUUUUUCCUCGUGUGAGAUUCGAACCUGGGACCAAUGGUUUUCGGUGCCAGACGCUAUGCCAUCUGUGUAGCAGAAGGGCGAAGUAACGAGCAGCCCAAAGCACAUGGAUUAGAUGUGGCAAUUGUUUGUGAAGAAUGCCAUAUUCAGUCUGUGUGUUUGAAAUGUCAACACGGGCGGUGGGCUGACCGCACCAGCAGGACGUUUGUCUUACGUUCGAAUCCCGGACCAGAAUGAAUUUUCCCUCCAUCACAAAACUUUCAUUGUCAGAAAGCUGUAGGGUUUUUUGGGUUGAGUAUUUGUUACGACGCCGUCACGAUGAUGCAUUUACAAUUUGUUUGCUUCACAGGACGUCCAGAGGAGACACUGCUUUGAUGACGUUCUUUUUCUUCCCUCACAUUUCGAGUCGUGCAUUACUUUUUCAAUUAGUUAAUUUACUAUUCUAGUUUAUAGUUUCAGUGAUCUUUGAUAGUUUUGAUAGUUAAAAUACGGGAGAUAUGCAUGAGACUUGUACAUACAUAACAUGAAAGAAUUGUCUUAAAUGCCUAGAGUGCUCCGGCAGUGAUAUUGUGCAGAUAUUAUGGUGAAUUUGUACGCUUCGAAGAAAUAAUAGGCGCUAUUUGUAACCAACGAGCUUACUUCAAUGGCAUAGUGUUUAUCUCAUUUGUUUUGUCCUUUAGUAAUUAAUGGUGACCUAUGUUGUCACUCCAACAGGAGCGCCACAUUUAUUGUUUCUGAUUGUUUUUCUGCGGCACGCAUUUUUUUUUUUCGUUAGUCGCAUUGAUAUAUUGCACAUUUCAACACACACUGGACGUGUAAUGCAGCUUCCAAAAGCUGCAAUACAUUCAUAAAGUCUGUUCAACAGAACUUGUGCAACAGAUAUUUGAAACUUGCGAAAAUUGGCUUAAGUGAAGCUUUCUUUUUCGUGCUCUCUGGCCAAUAAGGCAAUGAAACAUUGUAAAUACAUAAAUACAAGUAAAGGUGUCUGAAAACAGGUGUAUUAAAUUCUUUUCCUGAAGACCAA